Molecule: long non-coding RNA, 400 nt
Filed under: Brassica napus (rape)
Lineage: Eukaryota; Viridiplantae; Streptophyta; Magnoliopsida; Brassicales; Brassicaceae
Description: long non-coding RNA (BNAP_LNC001815)
Source: RNAcentral
UUCCGUGUCGUUAGGAUUUCAAAUGCACUCUGGCUGGAAUUUUGAUGUCCAAGGCCAAAUCAAGCUGUUCUUGGGGAUUGUGGAUAUAUAUCUGCAUGCACAUCAAGUAUAGCUACUAAUCGAUCUUGGUCAACUUAAAUACUCUCAUGAGGUAUAAAUUAAACCAAAUCAUGCUAUUAUACCCAAACUAGUAAAAAAAAAACUGAAUGGCUUUGCAACCCUUUACCAGAUUGAAUAAUCUUGUGGAGUUGUUUAGAGUCCUCAUCUUUGGUCGGUUCCAUAUCCAAGUAAUAACCAAUGCAUCUUCUUGUUUGGUGUUGAUUGAGUAUAUAUUUUGUGUUCCCUCUCUCACCAAGAUUAACUGGAAGUUUCAUGUUUAGAUUUUUUUUGGAAGGUUAAC